This 253-nucleotide ribosomal RNA is filed under the name uncultured bacterium. Its description in RNAcentral is "partial 16S ribosomal RNA". It matches the Rfam family "Bacterial small subunit ribosomal RNA", at positions 524 to 776 of the family's 1533-position model. The record is from RNAcentral.
UACGUAGAGUGCGAGCGUUAAUCGGAAUUACUGGGCGUAAAGCGUGCGCAGGCGGUUUCGUAAGACAGAUGUGAAAUCCCCGGGCUUAACCUGGGAACUGCAUUUGUGACUGCGAGACUAGAGUGUAGCAGAGGGGGGUAGAAUUCCACGUGUAGCAGUGAAAUGCGUAGAGAUGUGGAGGAAUACCGAUGGCGAAGGCAGCCCCCUGGGCUAACACUGACGCUCAUGCACGAAAGCGUGGGGAGCAAACAGG